CUUUUAAAGGAUAGCAGUAAUCCUAUGGUCUUAGGAACCAUCUACCUUGGUGCAAAUCCAAGUAAAAGUA
This 70-nucleotide transfer RNA is filed under the name Gallicolumba luzonica. Its description in RNAcentral is "tRNA-Leu". It matches the Rfam family "tRNA". Rfam says of the family: Transfer RNA (tRNA) molecules are approximately 80 nucleotides in length. Their secondary structure includes four short double-helical elements and three loops (D, anti-codon, and T loops). Further hydrogen bonds mediate the characteristic L-shaped molecular structure. tRNAs have two regions of fundamental functional importance: the anti-codon, which is responsible for specific mRNA codon recognition, and the 3' end, to which the tRNAs corresponding amino acid is attached (by aminoacyl-tRNA synthetases). tRNAs cope with the degeneracy of the genetic code in two manners: having more than one tRNA (with a specific anti-codon) for a particular amino acid; and 'wobble' base-pairing, i.e. permitting non-standard base-pairing at the 3rd anti-codon position. Lineage: Eukaryota; Metazoa; Chordata; Aves; Columbiformes; Columbidae. The record is from RNAcentral.